CUAACAGCCUGAGAGAAAAGGACACUGCAUAUCACAGAGAGAUGCAUAGAUGUUACACUCAGAAAGAGAGUGAACAACUAGAAGAUGUGGAAGAACCAGUUUGGCUCUGGAGUCAAGAAUUCUCAAAACAGCUUUCUGAACCUGAAUCGCACGCAGUAAAGCUGGUGUUCUCCUGAAGCCAACAUUUAUGGUAUCACCUUGCUGAUCCAGGCAAAAUGGCAAAAGUGUAGUGAACAUAAAGCCAGGGGCUGAGAUUGUGGAUGUCCUCUGUACCAAGUUUCUUAUUAUGAAAAUUCCAAGGGCCAAUUUUGAAACAAACCAGGCAGAGACCCAGAUGCAGAAUCCUGCAGGCUGAGGGAUGUUAGGAAGAGUUAGCCCACCACUGCUGCGCUGAAACCAGGAUGACGCAAACUGGGCCUCAGGCCAGGCUUAGAAUAUAAACUGACACCUUGAAGAAGUGACCAUCUUGUAAUCAACACUUUAUUCUAAGGAUAACAGAGAUAAAUGAUAUAAGGAUCUCUGUUUCUUAAUGGCAUUGUUGAGCCCUAAACUUUCUACUGCUAGAUAUUUUAUCGCAUGAAAUAAAUAAGCCUUAGUUGCUUAAAA
This 606-nucleotide long non-coding RNA is filed under the name Homo sapiens (human). RNAcentral's name for it is "long intergenic non-protein coding RNA 1360". Lineage: Eukaryota; Metazoa; Chordata; Mammalia; Primates; Hominidae. The record is from RNAcentral.